This 23-nucleotide microRNA is filed under the name Schmidtea mediterranea. Its description in RNAcentral is "sme-miR-2156b-3p". Lineage: Eukaryota; Metazoa; Platyhelminthes; Tricladida; Dugesiidae. The record is from miRBase by way of RNAcentral.
CCUUACGGCCCCUAAACCUUAUU